AUUGAACGCUGGCGGCAUGCUUACCCAUGCAAGUCGAACGGUAACAGGCCGCAAGGUGCUGACGAGUGGCGAACGGGUGAGUAAUGCAUCGGAACGUGCCCAGUCGUGGGGGAUAACUACUCGAAAGAGUAGCUAAUACCGCAUACGAUCUAUGGAUGAAAGCGGGGGACCGUAAGGCCUCGCGCGAUUGGAGCGGCCGAUGUCAGAUUAGGUAGUUGGUGGGGUAAAGGCUCACCAAGCCAACGAUCUGUAGCUGGUCUGAGAGGACGACCAGCCACACUGGGACUGAGACACGGCCCAGACUCCUACGGGAGGCAGCAGUGGGGAAUUUUGGACAAUGGGCGCAAGCCUGAUCCAGCAAUGCCGCGUGCAGGAAGAAGGCCUUCGGGUUGUAAACUGCUUUUGUACGGAACGAAACGGCUCUGGUUAAUACCCGGGGCUAAUGACGGUACCGUAAGAAUAAGCACCGGCUAACUACGUG
Molecule: ribosomal RNA, 481 nt
Filed under: uncultured bacterium
Lineage: Bacteria
Description: partial 16S ribosomal RNA
Rfam family: Bacterial small subunit ribosomal RNA
Source: RNAcentral